This is an RNA transcript of Gossypium arboreum, 1092 nucleotides long. RefSeq lists it as uncharacterized. The record is from RefSeq and is a predicted model, not a curated record. NCBI's taxonomy places the organism in Eukaryota, Viridiplantae, Streptophyta, Magnoliopsida, Malvales, Malvaceae. The transcript is spliced from 7 exons.
GACAAAAACUAGUGGCCCAUGGAUACAUUUCUACCUUUGAAUUUGACCCAGAACUCAUGGGUAGCUUCAGAUUUUUUUAGACCCAGAACUCAUGGGUAGCUUCAGAUUUUUUUAUUUCCUUUUUGCAGUCACAGCCCUUCCGCUUAAUUCAAACAUUUUCUCUUCUUUAUUCCAAAACCCACCUGGUCCUUGUAAUGUUUUGCCGAUUGCCGCCGCCACCCUGAUAUCCAUCAUUAUUCACUCGAUAAUUGAUGGAGACUAUGAUAAAGAAAUAUCAGCAGAAAUUCAAGAAAGCAAAAGAUGAAAUGAGUAAAUGGGACGACCUUCAAUCUCGCUUAAUUUCCCACUUUCGAAAUGCUUCUUCCAUUAUUUCCAGAUUACAGUUUUUUUGUUUUGGUGAUCAGAUUAUUCAAAACUCUAAAAACUAUGCCAGUUUAAAUUGUGUUGGAGGAAUGGAAGCUGCAGUGAUGCAAAAGCAGAUGGAUUCUUUGCAAACCAUUUUACUUUCCAUGAAAAAUACAAUUUUUAAAAAGAUUUUCAGGGAGGACUUUCGCGGUGUUGUUCUUUCCCUUGAGAAGGUUCAACAUGAUGGUAAACAGCUAGCAAAAGGUAGCUUUAAUCAGAUGAACAAGAAACAACUGCAACAUAGAAUUGGCGUAAAACCGACUCUUACAAAUUGCAUAGAUGGGCUUGUACUUCUCCAUGAAAUCUAUCACGACGAGUACCUUCUUAAAUCAUCAUUGGUUUCUGCACUUUCAGCUCUUGCCUUGAAACCCAAGCUCCAUAUGGGUUCAACUGCAGCCCUGUAAGGUGCAAGGGCACCUUGCCAAAGCAUUUGGGUGAUAAGUUCUGGUGAUCUGGGUGCCCUUCACCAACUUUUGGCUGAUCAACCCAAUAUAUUAAACGAGGAAGUACAAUACAUAUUUGACAUCGUAUUUGCGGAAGAGAUAUGUUGAUUUUAUGCAUGUCUGUUAUAGAGCCAGUAGUGUACUUGUAUCUUGCUACUGAAUUUUUUUAAUCUUGAAGCUGUGAACAUCACAAUAUUUGAUUCUUCAUAUAAAGCAUGGUAAUUGGAAGCUUUCUUUCAAUAAA